CCAGACUCCUACGGGAGGCAGCAGUGAGGAAUAUUGGUCAAUGGCCGGAAGGCUGAACCAGCCAAGCCGCGUGAAGGACGAAGGUGCCAAGCAUUGUAAACUUCUUUUGUCAAGGGACAAAAUCAGGCUCGAGAGCCUGACCGAGGGUACUUGAAGAAAAAGCAUCGGCUAACUCCGUGCCAGCAGCCGCGGUAAUACGGAGGAUGCGAGCGUUAUCCGGAUUUAUUGGGUUUAAAGGGUGCGUAGGCGGGCUGUUAAGUCAGCGGUAAAAUGUCGGGGCUCAACCCCGGCCUGCCGUUGAAACUGGCGGCCUCGAGUGGGCGAGAAGUAUGCGGAAUGCGUGGUGUAGCGGUGAAAUGCAUAGAUAUCACGCAGAACUCCGAUUGCGAAGGCAGUUCACUGGACUGCAACUGACACUGAGGCUCGAAAGUGUGGGUAUCAAACAGGAUUAGAUACCCUAGUAA
Molecule: ribosomal RNA, 464 nt
Filed under: uncultured bacterium
Lineage: Bacteria
Description: bacterial SSU rRNA
Rfam family: Bacterial small subunit ribosomal RNA
Source: RNAcentral